This 74-nucleotide transfer RNA is filed under the name Actinomycetota bacterium. Its description in RNAcentral is "tRNA-Trp". It matches the Rfam family "tRNA". From Rfam's summary of the family: Transfer RNA (tRNA) molecules are approximately 80 nucleotides in length. Their secondary structure includes four short double-helical elements and three loops (D, anti-codon, and T loops). Further hydrogen bonds mediate the characteristic L-shaped molecular structure. tRNAs have two regions of fundamental functional importance: the anti-codon, which is responsible for specific mRNA codon recognition, and the 3' end, to which the tRNAs corresponding amino acid is attached (by aminoacyl-tRNA synthetases). tRNAs cope with the degeneracy of the genetic code in two manners: having more than one tRNA (with a specific anti-codon) for a particular amino acid; and 'wobble' base-pairing, i.e. permitting non-standard base-pairing at the 3rd anti-codon position. Lineage: Bacteria; Bacillati; Actinomycetota. The record is from RNAcentral. RNAcentral also lists the same sequence under 1 other name.
AGGCGCGUAGCUCAAUUUGGUAGAGCACCGGUCUCCAAAACCGGCGGUUGGGGGUUCAAGUCCCUCCGCGCCUG